Molecule: ribosomal RNA, 382 nt
Filed under: Varioconus mercator
Lineage: Eukaryota; Metazoa; Mollusca; Gastropoda; Neogastropoda; Conidae
Description: Conus mercator partial 12S ribosomal RNA
Rfam family: Microsporidia small subunit ribosomal RNA
Source: RNAcentral
GAGCUUGGCGGUGUUUUAGACCUCUCAGGGGAACCUGUUCCAUAAUCGACAAUCCGCGUUAAACCUAACCUUUGAUAGCAAUUCAGCCUGUAUACCGUCGUCGUCAGGUAACUUCUUAAAAUAUAGUAGUUAGCUUGAGAAUUUUAUUAAUUAAAACGUCAGAUCAAGGUGCAGCUAAUGAAAGGGUGAGGAUGGGUUACAAUUACAUAUUUGUAAAUACGGAAAACAUUUGAAAUAAUGUCUUAAAGGAGGACUUGAAAGUAAUUUUGAUUAUAUAAAUAGAAUGAAUAGGGCUCUGAAACGUGCACACAUCGCCCGUCGCUCUCGUUGAAAAAUGAGAUAAGUCGUAACAUAGUAGGGGUAAUGGAAAUUGUUCCUAGGC